This is a long non-coding RNA of Heterocephalus glaber (naked mole-rat), 2436 nucleotides long. Lineage: Eukaryota; Metazoa; Chordata; Mammalia; Rodentia; Bathyergidae. The record is from Ensembl.
GCGGGGACGCGGUCCAGCUCCGUCAAGGAGACGCGGGUGGGACUGAAACAAAGCAAGAGGCCAGGCAACAGACCCCUCCUGCCCUUGGCAUAGCGGGUCGCCGCACUGAAUGCACCUCCCCCUGGGGGGCGGGAAGCGCCUCGCUCGGAAGCUGGCGCCACGCGUGGGAGACCGGCCUCCUCGACUCCACUGCCCCUACCUGUGUCGCGCCUGCCUGUCUCGCGAGGCCGCCCCGAAGAUCGCCUGCCAGGCGCCGCUCUUCUCCGCCUCUUGCUUCGGUCGGGUGCCGACCGGCCGCCUCUUCCCCGCCGUUUCCUCCAGAGGCUCCGCCCGGCUCGCCGGUUUGGGGCGGAGAACGCGCCCGCACGCUCCGCGGUUCCCGCGCGCGACCCGCCCCUCCUAGUCCCGCCCCUUCGUGAUGGACAGCCAGCUCAGCCAGUGGGAGGGCGCGUCGUAGGGCUGUGGCUUCUAGAGAGGCGCCUUCUAGAGAGGCGCCUUCCAGAGGACGCAUCUUCCCAGAAGACCCCGGCAAAUCCGAAGUCGAGUUUUUAUUGGUUGAGUCGAUUAGGUGGGAUUUCUGAUUGGAUUAGGCCUGGGAUCAGAUCCCAUCCCCGGAAGUGGGAGUGGUUCUGCUCUCAGUCUGGGUCUCGAGCAGCUGUGUGGUAGGACUGUGGAACGGGUAGCGGCCGCCAGCUAAGUCCUUUACACUCUCCGUGCCCUCCGCGCCCUCGGCUCUCCUGGGCCCAGGCGUUCUGUUGAGGUUUCCGGGGUCUCCACCGAGCCAUACCCUCUGCGCUCACCUUCACGGCGUAAGCCACGUGGAGCUGACGUCCUGAGGGCGUCGGGCGGUGGACCAGGCGGUCCUAGGAGAGAUAGGCUGGGGGCCGCUGCCCCGAGCCCAGCUACACCGCCUGGCGGUUGCGGUUCUUCUACUGUCAGCCGCGCUAGGGCACAUCUGGAACCAAAGCUGCAUUUCACUGAGUGUUAAGAGCAGCAGGGCCGGAGAUUUAGCUCGGUGGUUCCGUCGCCUGCCUCUCAAGCGCAAGGUCCCGAGUUCGAUACACGGUGCCAAAAAAGAACAGCAGGCUCCACAGACAGAACCAUUCACUGCUGGGAUCUGGAAAAUGUAAAGUGUACAUGAAAAACAAAACAAAAGCCUGUUUACAAAAUCCCCAGCUUCAUCUGCAGGUCGAAGCCGAACAGUUUAACCUGUCCCCUCUGGGCGUCCCGGGGCUCCCACCCCCUACCCGCCUUAGACCUCGGUGGUUGGGACGUUUUGGGGACGAGGGGGAAGGGCUAUUCAGUAUAGCCCACCUGGUUCUGGCAGGAAGGCGACAGCCUGUGUUAAGACACAGAGCUCGGUGGGCCGGGGAUUUAGCUCAGUGGUUUCGCCGCCUGCUGCGCAAGCACAAGGACCCAAGUUCAAUCCGGGGUACCAAAAAAAAAACAGAGCUCGAGGCGGGGAUGGGCGUCUUGGCAGUAGUAGUCACCAGAAUGUCUUUACUGUAUGUAUAAUCGCCCCGGAUAGUGCUGAGAGUUCACUUUACAGCAUCUAUACGCUGCCCAGGGAUGGACAUGGAACCGGGCCGACCCACUUCCAGGCCUGGGUGAAUUUCCUGGCAGGACCUAAGAGCAACAGCUGCUUCUGAACUGGGGCCCCAACAGUCCAGAGAACAUGGAUGAGCCCAACUUGGGUGGAGGACAGAAACCUUACUGGAAAGAGGACCUACACCCUAGCCGGCUGCUGACAGCUACCAUCUCUACCCUGUGAAGCCAGAUCCCUUAGACCUUCUGCCUCCUGAUAUGGACUCACACAAGACACUACAGUGAGCUCCAGGCCUCGACUGGAUCCUUCAGAUCUCCAGCACAGAGACAGCCCUUUUGCACUUUUACACACCUGACACUGCAGGCAGCCACUGUAAGCCAAUCUUGUAAAUUCUCAGCUAUUUGUAUAUCUUGCAUUAAAUCUAUUUCUCUAGUAUGCACUCUUACAAGGACCAAACAAUUUAGCUAAGAAAAAUGAAAACACGCCCACAAAGGAGUUAUAUCGUAGAACGUUCAUAGCAGAUUCAUUCCUCACAGCCCCAGACUGGGGAACAGCUCACAGUCAUGGAGUAGAGCAUGGAUGAAGAAAGGUGGGCUCUCUCCGUGAGCCACAGUUGUGUUUUCUGAGGGUUCCAGUGACCUGCAGUCAACUGUGGCUGGAAAUCCCAGAAGCCUAACAGGCCAUGAGUUUUAAGCUGUGCACCCUUCUGAGGGAUGCCAGCUCUUCAGCCCCUGGAUGAAAUCCUUUUGAGCCACCAGCUUUUGUCUCCCUGCAGGAACAGCAAAUGCUCAGCAUGACAAGGGAAACCUGCACUGCCCUUGGGUGAACAAGGUGGCUAUGGGGAGCCAUGGAGAGGCAGCGAGACCCCUGUGUGACCCUCCCUGCCACUU